This 433-nucleotide ribosomal RNA is filed under the name uncultured bacterium. RNAcentral's name for it is "partial 16S ribosomal RNA". It matches the Rfam family "Bacterial small subunit ribosomal RNA", at positions 29 to 507 of the family's 1533-position model. The record is from RNAcentral.
AACGAACGCUGGCGGCAUGCCUAACACAUGCAAGUCGAACGAGACCUUCGGGUCUAGUGGCGCACGGGUGCGUAACGCGUGGGAACCUGCCCUUAGGUUCGGAAUAACUCCCCGAAAGGGGUGCUAAUACCGGAUAAUGUCUUCGGACCAAAGAUUUAUCGCCUUUGGAUGGGCCCGCGUUGGAUUAGCUAGUUGGUAGGGUAAAAGCCUACCAAGGCGACGAUCCAUAGCUGGUCUGAGAGGAUGAUCAGCCACACUGGGACUGAGACACGGCCCAGACUCCUACGGGAGGCAGGAGUAGGGAAUAUUGGACAAUGGGCGAAAGCCUGAUCCAGCAAUGCCGCGUGAGUGAUGAAGGCCUUAGGGUUGUAAAGCUCUUUUACCCGGGAUGAUAAUGACAGUACCGGGAGAAUAAGCACCGGCUAACUCCGUG